This 253-nucleotide ribosomal RNA is filed under the name uncultured bacterium. RNAcentral's name for it is "partial 16S ribosomal RNA". It matches the Rfam family "Bacterial small subunit ribosomal RNA", at positions 524 to 776 of the family's 1533-position model. The record is from RNAcentral.
UACGUAGGGGACAAGCGUUGUCCGGAUUUACUGGGCGUAAAGAGCGCGCAGGCGGUCGUUCAAGUCGAGUGUGAAAGCCCCCGGCUCAACUGGGGAGGGGCAUUCGAUACUGAUCGACUCGAAGGCAGGAGAGGGAAGUGGAAUUCCCGGUGUAGCGGUGAAAUGCGCAGAUAUCAGGAAGAACACCAAUGGCGAAGGCAGCUCUCUGGGACGGUACUGACGCUGAGACGCGAAAGCGUGGGGAGCGAACAGG